CGGACGGGUGAGUAAUGCUGGGAAACUGCCUGAUGGAGGGGGAUAACUACUGGAAACGGUAGCUAAUACCGCAUAACGUCGCAAGACCAAAGAGGGGGACCUUCGGGCCUCUUGCCAUCGGAUGUGCCCAGAUGGGAUUAGCUAGUAGGUGGGGUAACGGCUCACCUAGGCGACGAUCCCUAGCUGGUCUGAGAGGAUGACCAGCCACACUGGAACUGAGACACGGUCCAG
RNAcentral lists this ribosomal RNA (231 nucleotides) under uncultured bacterium. RNAcentral's name for it is "partial 16S ribosomal RNA". It matches the Rfam family "Bacterial small subunit ribosomal RNA", at positions 99 to 334 of the family's 1533-position model. The record is from RNAcentral.